AACACUGUUAACCUGCGGUACCUGCGGAGGGAUCAUUAUCGAGGAGGGUCUAUGGGCCCGAUCUCCAACCCUUUGAUAAAAACACCAUGUUGCUUUGGCAGGCCCGCCCGUUGGGGCCGCGGGGGAUCGCUGGUCCCUAGCCCGUGCCUGCCGGUAGCCUUCACAAAACUCUCAAAAUGCUGUCGUCUGAGAUGAUUAGAAUAAUUAAAACUUUCAACAACGGAUCUCAGAUCGGAAGAG
RNAcentral lists this unclassified non-coding RNA (240 nucleotides) under soil metagenome. RNAcentral's name for it is "partial contains 5.8S ribosomal RNA, internal transcribed spacer 2, and large subunit ribosomal RNA". The record is from RNAcentral.